UAGGGAAUUUUCCGCAAUGGACGAAAGUCUGACGGAGCAACGCCGCGUGAGUGAAGAAGGAUUUCGGUUCGUAAAACUCUGUUGCUAGGGAAGAAAAAAUGUAUAGUAACUAUAUACAAAAGAGACGGUACCUAACCAGAAAGCCACGGCUAACUACGUGCCAGCAGCCGCGGUAAUACGUAGGUGGCAAGCGUUGUCCGGAAUUAUUGGGCGUAAAGCGCGCGCAGGUGGUUUAGAAAGUCUGAUGUGAAAGCCCACGGCUCAACCGUGGAGGGUCAUUGGAAACUAAUAAACUUGGGUGCAGGAGAGAAAAGUGGAAUUCCUAGUGUAGCGGUGAAAUGCGUAGGAAUUAGGAGGAACACCGGUGGCGAAAGCGGCUUUUUGGCCUGCAACUGACACUGAGGCGCGAAAGCGUGGGGGGCAAACAGG
This 429-nucleotide ribosomal RNA is filed under the name Verrucomicrobiota bacterium. RNAcentral describes it as "Verrucomicrobia bacterium partial 16S ribosomal RNA". It matches the Rfam family "Bacterial small subunit ribosomal RNA", at positions 355 to 776 of the family's 1533-position model. Lineage: Bacteria; Pseudomonadati; Verrucomicrobiota. The record is from RNAcentral.